Molecule: ribosomal RNA, 465 nt
Filed under: Vreelandella stevensii
Lineage: Bacteria; Pseudomonadati; Pseudomonadota; Gammaproteobacteria; Oceanospirillales; Halomonadaceae
Description: partial 16S ribosomal RNA
Rfam family: Bacterial small subunit ribosomal RNA
Source: RNAcentral
CCUACGGGAGGCAGCAGUGGGGAAUAUUGGACAAUGGGGGCAACCCUGAUCCAGCCAUGCCGCGUGUGUGAAGAAGGCCCUCGGGUUGUAAAGCACUUUCAGUGAGGAAGAACGCCUGGUGGUUCAUACCCAUCAGGAAAGACAUCACUCACAGAAGAAGCACCGGCUAACUCCGUGCCAGCAGCCGCGGUAAUACGGAGGGUGCGAGCGUUAAUCGGAAUUACUGGGCGUAAAGCGCGCGUAGGUGGCUUGAUAAGCCGGUUGUGAAAGCCCCGGGCUCAACCUGGGAACGGCAUCCGGAACUGUCAAGCUAGAGUGCAGGAGAGGAAGGUAGAAUUCCCGGUGUAGCGGUGAAAUGCGUAGAGAUCGGGAGGAAUACCAGUGGCGAAGGCGGCCUUCUGGACUGACACUGACACUGAGGUGCGAAAGCGUGGGUAGCAAACAGGAUUAGAUACCCCGGUAGUC